CACUUCUGGGUCCCAAUUUAGGAUAAAAAAUUGUCAGAUGCAAAAGAAGUUCCUCUCCAAAGGUUUAGCUUGUUCAGUAUCCUUGUUCUUUGUUCCCCACUUCCAAGGCUAAACUGACUUCCUUAUCCUUUGUGCCUCCCUGUCUUGGUUUAAGUAAACAACUUUCCCACCAGUCCUUGUUUACAGAGCCCACAUCUGUUACCCACUCUGUAAAUUACCCCUCCUGUUGCAAUGGCUCUUCCUGCAGAAACUGCCCUUCUUACCAGUGUAACCACAUUCCUGCACCUUUUAAGUUAGCCAAUCAGGUUCAGCUUAGAUUGUGGAGUCUAACUCCGGCCAGUGGAAGCAGGACACUGGGAGGGAGUAGCUGCGUUAAGAAUAAAAACCCCUUCCCUCCUUUGUUUGGUGUGCUCUCCUGGCACCCAGGCUUGUGAGUAGUACCCUUCUGCAGAAGUAAAUUUGCCUUGCUGAGAAAUCCUUUGUUUCAAUGCUCAUUUUCUUUGCAAUUCUGAGCCUUACUUCCAACAAACACCAGGAUUGUUUCCUCUCUUUUAUAUUAAAAAUCCUUGCUCUAAAAAAUUACUAUUUUACCCAAAACCUUUGCUUCAAUAAUCACUUUUUUUGGAUUAUUGAGUUCCAUCAUAAACAUUAUACAGCAUAUCUUUUAAUUUUCUCAAAACUCUUUUUCAGCUUAAAUUCAUUGACCUUAUCACAUGCUUCAUAGUGAUAACUGUCAUAGCAUUUUUAUUAGUUAAACUAGGAAUAUUUACACAAUGAGUUUAUAAUAAUUCUUUUACUUGGCAUAUUAUGUUCUCAUGGCAUUCAUAUUUUCCUUUACAGGCAAUUCUUUUUCUAGCUACUCACAUUUACUAUAGCAUGCAUGCAUUUCUUAGAAAUAUCACCAGAUUUUUGGUGCGGCAAUCAUAACACAGAAUUAUGGAACAUUGGAAGUAAAGAUGUCAGUUUUAAGACUUGAGAAGUGAAAAAAGAAGAGGGAAAAGAUAAAUACUGCUGAAUUCCAGCUACAUGGAAAGGUGUCUGACAGAGUGGUUCCCCAAGGAAGGCAUUAACUAGCACAGAAGUAGACACAGCAUGUGCAUGAAGCCAGAGUGCUCCAGACUUGCCACAAGGUUUAGAAGUGAAUUUCAAAUUCCAAGAGUUGUUUUCUUUGAGGUGCUUCGAGGGAUUUGAUGAGAGAGAAAACUUUCGACUACAGGUUUGUAAAAAACCCGAGGAGAUUUUUUAAAGUAUUCAUAAUUGCACAAGUUGUACAUAUUUCAUGUUUAUUUUGCUCUUUUGGCUUUACUUUAUUUGUCCCCAUGUGUACACUAUGGUGCUGCCCAGGAAUUUAUAAAUUUUGAUGGGAACCUGGAAUUUUUAAAAUUAAAAAAAAGUAUGUAAAUGUUAACCUUUAGGGCCCUUUUUCUUGCAUUUAGGAUUUACACAUUGAAAUCUCCUGCAGUGAAACUAUAUUAGAUUCCACAAUUCUCACAGGUCUGAUUUCUGUGUUUCUCAGGUUGUCACUGAGUUGUUUCAUUGCCAAAGCUGAAAUAAUGGAAAACAAAACAAAACAAAAAUCAAAAUUAUCUGGUUAGGAAAUUUUAUUUGGAAAUAACAAAGAAUAUUAAAUUAAAUUAUGAGACUCUCAAGAUUAUGGUGGGUUAUAUGAGACUUAAGAGUUUUAGGAAACUGGUUUCUAGAUGAGAGGAGCAUACUUUAAAAAUUGUGCUUUCCAUAUUUCUUUUGAUAACAUCAUUUGAGAUUAAAUGUUUAAUUUUAUUCCUAAUGCUUUAUGAUUAGUAUAUUCAACACUUGAAAUUUUGAGAUUUAAUUAUUUAAUUCAUAAGGAUAGAUAUACAAAAAUCUAAUUAUAAAUUACCUAUAUACUAUGUGUGUACAUGUCAUAUUAUAUAUGUCUAUAUAUGCUGUGAAAAUACAUGUGAUUAAUU
Molecule: long non-coding RNA, 1949 nt
Filed under: Homo sapiens (human)
Lineage: Eukaryota; Metazoa; Chordata; Mammalia; Primates; Hominidae
Description: HSALNT0076972
Source: RNAcentral